Molecule: long non-coding RNA, 1491 nt
Filed under: Mytilus galloprovincialis (Mediterranean mussel)
Lineage: Eukaryota; Metazoa; Mollusca; Bivalvia; Mytilida; Mytilidae
Source: RNAcentral
UUUUCAUACGACCGCAAAAAUUUUAAUUUUUCGUCGUAUAUUGCUAUCACGUUGGCGUCGUCGUCUGCGUCUGCGUCGUCGUCGUCGUCCGAAUACUUUUAGUUUUCGCACUCUAACUUUAGUAAAAGUGAAUAGAAAUCUAUGAAAUUUUAACACAAGGUUUAUGACCAUAAAAGGAAGGUUGGGAUUGAUUUUGGGAGUUUUGGUCCCAACGUUUUAGGAAUUAGGGGCCAAAAAGGGCCCAAAUAAGCAUUUUCUUGGUUUUCGCACUAUAACUUUAGUUUAAGUAAAUAGAAAUCUAUGAAAUUUUGACACAAGGUUUAUGACCACAAAAGGAAGGUUGGGAUUGAUUUUGGGUGUUUUGGUUCCAACAGUUUAGGAAUUAGGGGCCAAAAAAGGGCCCAAAUAAGCAUUAUUCUUGGUUUUCGCACAAUAACUUUAGUAUAAGUAAAUAAAAAUCAAUGAAAAUAAAACACAAGGUUUAUGACCACAAAAGGAAGGUUGGGAUUGAUUUUGGGAGUUGAGGUCCCAACAGUUUAGGAAUAAGGGGCCAAAAAGGGGCCCAAAUAAGCAUUAUUCUUGGUUUUCGCACCAUAACUUUAGUAUAAGUAAAUAGAAAUCUAUGAAAUUUUAAACACAAGGUUUGUGACCAUAAAAGGAAGGUUGGGUUUAAUUUUAGGAGUUUUGGUCCCAACAGUUUAGGAAUAAGAGGCCCAAAGGGUCCAAAAUUGAACUUUGUUUGAUUUCAUCAAAAAUUGAAUAAUUGGGGUUCUUUGAUUUGCCGAAUCUAACUGUGUAUGUAGAUUCUUAAUUUUUGGUCCCGUUUUCAAAUUGGUCUACAUUAAGGUCCAAAGGGUCCAAAAUUAAACUUAGUUUGAUUUUAACAAAAAUUGAAUCCUUGGGUUCUUUGAUAUGCUGAAUCUAAAAAUGUACUUAGAUUUUUUGAUUAUUAGCCCAGUUUUCAAGUUGGUCCAAAUCGGGGUCCAAAAUUAAACUUUGUUUGAUUUCAUCAAAAAUUGAAUAAUUGGGGUUCUUUGAUAUGCCAAAUCUUACUGCGUAUGUAGAUUCUUAAUUUUUGGUCCCGUUUUCAAAUUGGUCUACAUUAAAGUCAAAAGGGUCCAAAAUUAAACUAAGUUUGAUUUUAACAAAAAUUGAAUUCUUGGGCUUUUUUGAUAUGCUGAAUCUAAACAUGUACUUAGAUUUUUUAUUAUGGGCCCAGUUUUCAAGUUGGUUCAAAUCAGGAUCCAAAAUUAUUAUAUUAAGUAUUGUGCAAUAGCAAGAAAUUUUCAAUUGCACAGUAUUCAGCAAUAGCAAGAAAUCUUCAAUUGCACAGUAUUGUGCAAUAACAAGAAAUUUUCAAUUGCACAGUAUUGCGCAAUAGCAAGAAAUCUUCAAUUGCACAGUAUUGUGCAAUAGCAAAUAUUUUCAAUUGCACAGUAUUGCGCAAUAGCAAGAAAUAUCUAAUUGCACAAUAUUGUGCAAUAGCAAGAA